RNAcentral lists this long non-coding RNA (3546 nucleotides) under Sus scrofa (pig). RNAcentral describes it as "lncRNA (ENSSSCG00005027899.1)". Lineage: Eukaryota; Metazoa; Chordata; Mammalia; Artiodactyla; Suidae. The record is from RNAcentral.
CUAUAAAUGUAAACAUAAGCAUAAAUAAUAUAACUAAUAAUAAAUAAUGUAGAUAAUAAUAAUAAGCAGUAUUGACUGCUUUCUCUUCCCUUUUCCAUCUUACUCCCCCACUCCUGUACUAGAAUUUACCAGAAUCAACUUCCUACAAACUACUUGUUCUAGAAUCCUUGCCUUGGGGUUUGCUUCAGAGAGAAUCCAAAUAAGACAGAAGGAUUCAUCCUGGUCAAUAGGAUGGUAAGUCCCAGGAGAGGCUAUAGGCCCUGGAGAGGGUAUAUUGGCAAGGGAUUUAUGGUCAGAGGGUUCUUUCCAGAGCCUACUAAAUUUUUCCCCAGAGAUGGGCCACAUGUAGAACCUGGGUGCCUUUGCAAAUGCUGUUCUAUUACCAACCGAGAGCCUUACUUUAGCCCAACCCCAAGGUAGGCUCCAAAAAGCAGACUCAUUUUAGUGACAUCUCCAGUGUCAAAUAUGAUGCUCUUGGUUUUGUCCCAUGAAAGAGGGACAAAUAUAAAGUUUGUGUCAAAUAUAAAGUUUGCUUCAGGAGUUCCCAUCAUGGUUACAAAUCUGACUGGCAUGCAUGAGGAUGAGGUGAGGUUUGAUCCCUAGCUUGGUGGGUUAAGGACCUGGUGUUGACAUGAGCUGUGGUGUAGGUUGCAGACAUGGCUCAAAUCCCGCAUUGCUAUGGUUGUGGUAUAGGCUGGUGGCUACAGCUCCAAUUCAACCCCUGCCACAGGUGAGGCCCUAAAAAGACCAAAAUAAUAAUAAUAAUAAUGAUAAGUUUGCUUCAAGGAGUCUCAUCUGCAUUUGGCCAGGCCUACAAACCUGAAAACUAUCUCAGAGCUUAUGUUUCUUCUGUCCUCACAGAGCAAUUGAUAUGUGGGUGGGAGCACACAAAGGUGGUAGUGGCCACAGCCUGGGCCUCCUCUAGCACUCAUCCCCGGGCACUUCGGAAAAAAAAAAAACCUCUAGAGAUGAUGAAGGGUUUUAAAAAUAAAAGCUGUUGAGGCAGCCUGCAGCGUCCUAUCCCUGGAGCUUCCUCCUCCCUACCCCUGGCUCUCAGCACAUGGCAGGACCCUAGGGCCCUGUUCUCUGGUCUCCUCAGCCACCUUGGGUCCAAGGGCUCUGCUCCAAGGUCCAGCUUGGCCAAGAGUGGUCAUCAGAGCAGAGGGAGGCAGGAUGACCCACAUACUCAGAGUCAAGGCCACAGUUUAUUGAUGCAGGGUCAAGGUUAUUCUCUAAAUAAACUUCCCUGCUUCAAAAACUUUUAGUGGCAGGUGGUGGCUCAACAGAGACUCAAUUAUAGAGGCCUCAGUGUGAAGUGUGGUGUUGUCCUCAGCAGCUCUUUGAGAGCCCUUUGUCCCAGGCAGUCCUUUCUCUGAAGGACAGCUGAUCAGGGCAAACCUCUGAGUAUCCAGGGCAGGGAUCCAGCUGCAUCUUCCCCAGACAUGUCCCUGGGAAGUGCUGCCCUUACACCUGGGCAGCUGGGGCCUCUGACCUGAUCCAUUGCUUCAGAGCAGAGAUCUCAAACUAUCUGUGAUGAACAACCAGAUUUAAAAUUUUCCAACCAGGAGUCCCCAUUGUGGUGCAGUGGAAACAAAUCCGACUAGUAGCCAUGAGGAUGUGGGUUCAAUCCCUGGCUUUGCUCAGUGGCUUAAGGAUGGGGUGUUGCUGUGAGCUGUGGUGUAGGUCGCAGACACUGCUUGGAUCCUGUGUUGCUGUGGCUAUAGUGUAGCCUGGCAGGUGUAGCUCUGAUUCAACCCGUAGCCUGGGAAGUUUCAUGUGCUAAGCACAGCUCUAAAAAGAAAAAAAAAGAAAAGAAAAGAAAAGAAAAGAAAAAAGAAAAAAAAUUCCAACCAGUUGUAGACCAAUGAUUUUGUAAAAUGUGGUAAAAAUGAAUUACUAGAAAAAUGAAAUGUUAAGAAACAUGUGAAAUAAGGUCCAAAUGUUUACUAUUCUUAUUUGACUCAAAAUACAUAAAAUUAGGUGAUCAAAUUGCUAUCAAGUUCCUAAAUGUUUACUCAGUUUCUGUGCUAACCUUGUUAUGGGCCCAUGAGAAACCGGUCUUGGGCUGGCACACUUUGUGGACCACACAGAGAGCAGUCUGGCUUUAAAGGACCUUCUCAUCCCUCCCCUGCCCUGUGCUAAGGAGAGCCUCCCACGAGGAGUUCAUGACACCAGUCACCUCCUCUACCUCAGGCCACACUCAGGGUGAGCAGGACUCUAGUCUGCCAUUUAAAUAGCCUUAUACUGCUUCUCUCUGCUGUGUGGGCAUCUUCUCUGGAUCUGUCCUCCCAAGGCUAGUCCAUGCCUUCAGUGAGCACCCCCAAGGAACGGGUCAUGGACAGAGCUUGGACUUGAAGGCUCAUCCAUCCACACGUGUGCACGCGGGACUCUGUGUGGUACAGGCUGGAGCUAUGGGUGUAACAGAUGCCCAGAACUACUGUGCCUCCCACAGAUCCUGGCAGCAGCUCAGCACUUAGAGAGCCAACUGUUAUUGAACUCAGACAGGGGUGGCUAUGGGAUAGGAUUAUGAUUAGGAUUCAAGUUGGCAGUAAUCAAGAUGCAGUCAUCUUAUGUUUAAUGUGGCUACUUAGUCUGACCACUAAUUUUACCUAUUGACUUGGCUGGGCCAUGGUGCCCAGAUAUUUGGUGAAAUGUUACUCUGAAUAUUUUCGAGAAGGUAUUUUUGAUGAGAUUUAGCAUGUAAGUCAGUGGACUUAGAGGAAAUCAUGUUGCUCUCUAUACUGUGGUUGGGCCUCAUCCAAUUACUUGAAGGCCUUGAUAGAGCAAAGACUAACCUCCGCUGAGCCAGAAGGGGUUCUUCCAGCAGACUGCCUCUGGACUCAAACUGCACCUCUCCCCUGAGUCUCCAGCCUGUUGACCUCCUCCAUCAGAUUUGGACUCCCCAUUCCUUUGUAUUCACAUAGGCCAAUUCCUUAAAAUAAAAGCCUCUCCAUAUAUACAUACACCAUCAUGUUGGUUUUGUUUCUUUGGAGAACCCUGACACUUAGCUUUACCGAAGGACAGAAGAAAGGACAUACAGGGCAUCCAACAUCUCCUUAUUAGGAGGCCAACCACAUAGCUUCUUCAGCCUCCUCAACCACAUGGAGUAUCUAUAGCUGCCCAGGUAGGGAGCCAAGAUGCUUGCAGGUCACCUUGACACAGAGGCCACAGCUUUUGCUUCCCAUCAGCUCUUUAUACUGUGUGAGUCAGGUAGGCCCAAGGCCUGCAAGCCAACUCUCAACAUUUCAUAUUUAUUCUGUAGUUCCAAGGAAACAAGGCAGUGAGAAGAAAGAGGUCAAGGUCAUUCCCAGGUAGGCCUACAUCACCCAGGUCUGAUGUUAACCUUUAUACACAUGAGUAUAAUUCUUGUUGCUGAUUUGUCUUGCUAUUCUUGAGCCUCUACUCAUUACAGUUCAAGUGUGAAGGCAGAACCCAAAGGAAAGCAAAGGAGUCAGUCUUUAGCUUUGGAUACUUAAUAUGAGAUCUCAAGGAAGCCCUUUUGAAAUGGGAAUUAUAGAGGUAAGAAUUUGUACUUCCCAGAGUUGG